CCACGGGGGCUGCAGUGGGGAAUAUUGGACAAUGGGCGAAAGCCUGAUCCAGCCAUGCCGCGUGUGUGAAGAAGGCCUUCGGGUUGUAAAGCACUUUCAGUGGGGAAGAAAGCCUUGGGGCUAAUACCCUCGAGGAAGGACAUCACCCACAGAAGAAGCACCGGCUAACUCCGUGCCAGCAGCCGCGGUAAUACGGAGGGUGCGAGGCGUUAAUCGGAAUUACUGGGCGUAAAGCGCGCGUAGGCGGUCUGAUAAGCCGGUUGUGAAAGCCCCGGGCUCAACCUGGGAACGGCAUCCGGAACGGUCAGGCUAGAGUGCAGAAGAGGAAGGUAGAAUUCCCGGUGUAGCGGUGAAAUGCGUAGAGAUCGGGAGGAAUACCAGUGGCGAAGGCGGCCUUCUGGACUGACACUGACGCUGAGGUGCGAAAGCGUGGGUAGCAAACAGGAUUAGAUACCCCAGUAGU
RNAcentral lists this ribosomal RNA (463 nucleotides) under Vreelandella stevensii. RNAcentral's name for it is "partial 16S ribosomal RNA". It matches the Rfam family "Bacterial small subunit ribosomal RNA", at positions 339 to 794 of the family's 1533-position model. Lineage: Bacteria; Pseudomonadati; Pseudomonadota; Gammaproteobacteria; Oceanospirillales; Halomonadaceae. The record is from RNAcentral.